RNA transcript from Mycetomoellerius zeteki, 2148 nucleotides. It is a transcript of the gene named hrp65 protein, with no coding region annotated. The transcript has 14 exons. The record is from RefSeq and is a predicted model, not a curated record. Lineage: Eukaryota; Metazoa; Arthropoda; Insecta; Hymenoptera; Formicidae.
CGCAACGGGCUCUCUUUUCGUCGUUGGACGCCAUAGUGUGCGGUUGGUUCGAGCGAACGUGUAGUGAAGCAGCUUCAAUCGAGAGAGACAUAGGAGGUCUUUCGUUUACGGCGCAGAUACGGCGCUUCGAUGGCUGGAACGGAGACUCCAAACGUGAAGUCUGAGGGAGGGAACGCACCAGUUGAAAAUAACAGCGAAAAUAUGCGUGAUCGGAACCAAGCCGGUGGCGGCAGCGGAGGAGGCGGCGGCGGGGGGGGCGGAAGCGGCAGCGGCGGAGGUGGAGGUGGCGGUGGCCGUGGAGGUCGUGGUGGCCGAAAAGGCGGUACUCGUUUUUCGGGUGGUCGUGGAGGCGGCGGCGGCAGGAAUGAUGGGAUGAAAAUGAGUGAUUCCAUGGAUGGAGGCAUGGAUAAUUCUGAAGGCAUGGGUGGCGGAAUGGGUGGCGGAAUGGGUGGUGGGAUGGGUGGUGGAAUGGGUGGCGGAAUGGGUGGCGGAAUGGGUGGCGGCAUGGGCGGCAUGGGUGGCAUGGGUAUGGGUCGCGGCGGUGUAAUGCGAGGAAGUGGAAGAGGAGGUCGUGGCGGCGGUGACAGAAACAUAACCAAUAGAUCACAAGAUGAUCGAUUGAUGGAACGUGUCAUGGCUGUCAGUGGACCUACUCAUGAGCUUCCACCACAGGACACUACGGAAAAGAAGUUCAGUGGCCGAAAUCGUUUGUACGUUGGAAAUUUGACAAACGAUGUGACCGAGGAAGAAAUACAGACCAUGUUCCAAAAAUAUGGAGAAAUAUCCGAGCUGUUUGUGAAUAAAGAAAAAAGUUUUGCUUUUCUCAGAUUGGAUUAUAAAGCAAAUGCUGAUACGGCUAAGCGCGAACUAGAUGGUUCAAUGCGCAAAGGUCGUGCGCUAAAGGUACGCUUUGCUCCUCAUUCAUCGACUAUCAAAGUAAAGAAUCUAACGCCUUGGACAUCUAAUGAACUUCUUGAAAGAGCCUUCAGUGUCUUUGGCGAAAUCGAACGUGCGAUAGUUAAAGUUGACGACAGAGGUAAAACUACUGGUGAAGGAAUAGUUGAGUUUUGCCGGAAACCAUCUGCUCAGUUAGCCCUGAGAAAGUGCACAGAGGGUUGUUAUUUCAUUACGGCUUUGUAUUUCAGUUCCCUUCGACCAGUAGUUGUUGAACCAUUUGAACAACAAGAUGAUGUGGAUGGCUAUCCUGACAAGAGUUUACCACGCAAAAAUCCAGAGUUCUUCAAAGCGCGUGAAAUCGGACCACGCUUUGCACAAUCAGGUAGUUUCGAACACGAAUAUGGUACGAGAUGGAAGCAAUUACAUGAAUUAUACAAGCAGAAAGAAGAAGCACUUAAACGAGAAAUGGCAAUGGAAGAAGAAAAAUUGGAAGCCCAAAUGGAAUUCGCUCGAUAUGAACACGAGACGGAGCUUCUGAGAGAACAACUGCGCAUGCGCGAGGCGGAUCGCGAAAGGCAGAAGAGAGAAUGGGAAAUGAAAGAGCGACAAGCAGAAGAGCAGAGGACUCGCGAAGAGGAAUUAAGACGGCGUCAACAAGAAGAAAUGGCGAUACGUAUCAGAAGACAGGAAGAGGAAUUGCAUAGACGUCAACAGGAAAACAAUUUGUUUAUGCAGGAACAAGCAAUUCGCAGUGGUGGUGGAGGUGGUGGUGGUGGUGGCGGUGGCGGCGGUGGCGGCGGCGGCAAAAGUUACGAUUCUGUCAGUAGCAAUGAUCGUGAUGGAUAUGGUCAACCUGAUGGUGGAAGCGGCAUGCCAGUGAUAAGUGCUGUACCACCAGGUUGAUCAUCAAGAAAAAUGCUCACAGAAUAUAGUUUGAUACCUUGACACCAUUCUGAGGCUUUUGACGUCAUUGAUGACACCAACUAACAACUUUGUAUAUCUAAGGAAAGUCCGUAAUGAAAAACUAACACAAAUUGGUCUGAUAUAUAGAAUGCAUCAAUUAUAUUUUAAAGGAAAAUCCAUAAUGAAGAAGUAGCGCAAAUCGAUCUGAUAAAUAGAGCAUCAAUUAUAUUUUAAAGAGGAUUAAAAGGCGCACUCCCUCUCAAGAGUACUUUCCGGCAACAAGUAAUUGAAGGCUACUUUAGCUUUAUUUAAUAUAAAGCAUUCUAUACAAUAUGGUCCAGCAGUUGG